AGAGUUUGAUCAUGGCUCAGAAUGAACGCUGGCGGCAGGCCUAACACAUGCAAGUCGGACGAGGUAGCAAUACCUAGUGGCGGACGGGUGAGUAACACGUGGGAACGUACCCUUUGCUACGGAAUAGCCCUGGGAAACUGGGAGUAAUACCGUAUGAGCCCGAGAGGGGAAAGAUUUAUCGGCAAAGGAUCGGCCCGCGUUGGAUUAGGUAGUUGGUGGGGUAAUGGCCUACCAAGCCGACGAUCCAUAGCUGGUUUGAGAGGAUGAUCAGCCACACUGGGACUGAGACACGGCCCAGACUCCUACGGGAGGCAGCAGUGGGGAAUCUUAGACAAUGGGGGAAACCCUGAUCUAGCCAUGCCGCGUGAUCGAUGAAGGCCUUAGGGUUGUAAAGAUCUUUCAGGUGGGAAGAUAAUGACUGUACCACCAGAAGAAGCCCCGGCUAACUCCGUG
Molecule: ribosomal RNA, 453 nt
Filed under: uncultured bacterium
Lineage: Bacteria
Description: bacterial SSU rRNA
Rfam family: Bacterial small subunit ribosomal RNA
Source: RNAcentral